AAACCAUGCAUCGGACAUUUUCACAGCAAAUCUUUAAAUCACUCCUAAGCUUCAUACAAAUUUUCAUCCUUUAAUUGCUUGAAAUAUGUGAUGUCAUUCCUCAUUCU
Hibiscus syriacus is the source of this 107-nucleotide small nucleolar RNA. The record is from RefSeq and is a predicted model, not a curated record. Lineage: Eukaryota; Viridiplantae; Streptophyta; Magnoliopsida; Malvales; Malvaceae.